Molecule: ribosomal RNA, 441 nt
Filed under: uncultured bacterium
Lineage: Bacteria
Description: partial 16S ribosomal RNA
Rfam family: Bacterial small subunit ribosomal RNA
Source: RNAcentral
CCUACGGGUGGCAGCAGUCGGGAAUAUUGCGCAAUGGAGGAAACUCUGACGCAGUGACGCCGCGUAUAGGAAGAAGGUUUUCGGAUUGUAAACUAUUGUCGUUAGGGAAGAUAAAAGACUGUACCUAAGGAGGAAGCCCCGGCUAACUAUGUGCCAGCAGCCGCGGUAAUACAUAGGGGGCAAGCGUUAUCCGGAAUUAUUGGGUGUAAAGGGUGCGUAGGUGGUUUAGUAAGUUGGCGGUGUAAUUCCGGGGCUCAACCUCGGCGCUACCGCCAAAACUAUUAGACUAGAGUGCAGGAGGGGUAAGUGGAAUUCCUAGUGUAGCGGUGGAAUGCGUAGAUAUUAGGAGGAACAUCAGGGGCGAAGGCGACUUACUGGACUGUAACUGACACUGAGGCACGAAAGCGUGGGGAGCAAACAGGAUUAGAUACCCUUGUAGUC